GCAGUCGUGGCCUAGUGGUGGACUAGAAAUCCAUUGGGGUCUCCCCGCACAGGUUCGAAUCCUGUCGACUGCG
This is a non-coding RNA of Ixodes scapularis (black-legged tick), 73 nucleotides long. Lineage: Eukaryota; Metazoa; Arthropoda; Arachnida; Ixodida; Ixodidae. The record is from Rfam.